RNAcentral lists this transfer RNA (85 nucleotides) under bacterium. RNAcentral's name for it is "tRNA-Ser". It matches the Rfam family "tRNA". From Rfam's summary of the family: Transfer RNA (tRNA) molecules are approximately 80 nucleotides in length. Their secondary structure includes four short double-helical elements and three loops (D, anti-codon, and T loops). RNAcentral also lists the same sequence under 1 other name. The record is from RNAcentral.
GGAAGGUUGGCAGAGUGGUCGAUCGCGCACCGUUGGAAACGGUGUUUACCGCAAGGUAACGGGGGUUCGAAUCCCCCAUCUUCCG